Molecule: transfer RNA, 76 nt
Filed under: Idiomarinaceae bacterium
Lineage: Bacteria; Pseudomonadati; Pseudomonadota; Gammaproteobacteria; Alteromonadales; Idiomarinaceae
Description: tRNA-Asp
Source: RNAcentral
GGCCCUGAGACCAACUGGGAUUGGUACCUGUCUGUCGAACAGGACGCUGCGAGAUCGAAACUCGUCUGGGCCGCCA